GGAAGAGGGAAGGAGGGAACUAGUAAAGAAGUUUUUUGUUCGAGCACUUUGUUGUGGUUUUGUUUUUGGUGCUAGGGACGGAACCCAGGGCCUCAUGUAGGCUAAGCAAGUGUUCUCUCACUGAGCCAUGCCAGUUUUAAGUAUACCUUUCUCUGUUAACUUAUCAUGGUUUCUAAAUACGUAAAUUUGGUUUUCCAAAACCAUAAUGUUUGUUACUUUCUCAUUGAAUAGCCUCCUUUCAGGAAAGUGGUCCAUUGCCAUAUAAAAUAUUGCUGAUAACAUUUAGUUUUUGUCUUCUAAUAAAUUUGUGUGGCAAUUUUCAGAUUAAUUAGAAAAUAAAUUUAUGUUCUUUUUCCCCUUUAGCUCCCACAACUCCCACAAUGUUGACAGCUAUGGUUUCACCUUCUAGCAAGGAGAUUUUUCUUAGAGCUAGUUCUAGAAAUUUUGACUAAUUAAAGAAAAUCAUUUAAAAAAUCUAAUACUGGGCAUUAACUAGCAUAAAGCCCACAUGGUAGCUAUAGUGAAUCUCAUAAUUCAAACUCUACCUGUGUUAGGCUUGCUGUUACUGUAGGACAUGCCUGAAUCAAUGAUAUAAAGAGAGAAGGUUUACUUUGGCUGGCAGUUAUGGAGGUUUCCCUCUAUAAACAGUUGGCCCCAUUGUUUUGGGAAACACAUUUUGGUAGGGAAUUUGUGAAGGAGCAGAGCUAUUCACAAGUGAAUAAAAGAGAAAGGAAGGGAAGGGGACCAGGUUCCACCAUCACCUUCAAGGGCACACCCCCCAGUGACUGGAAAACCUCCCAUUAGGCCCCUCCUCUUAAAGUUUCCACCACCUCCUAAUAGUGCCACACCAAGUAUUAAGCUUUUGACAAAGGAGUCAUUGAGACACUUCACUUGGCAUUUCACCCACCAAGUGACCAGCACUUCCCUUACGUUACUGUCUUCUCAUGAAAGUGAACAAACAACAUAAAUGUCAGAUGUCUUCAAAAGCAGCCAGAAAAACAGUGAGUUUGCAGGGACAAAAACUUAUAUCUUCAAAGAGGAUAUAAAAACAUUACAACCAUGAUGCAGAAUUGGUGGUAUAGAAUAAAACAUUCAGGAAAAAUUCUUUGGUGUAAAAUUCAUAAACAAUUGCUUUCUCAUGUACAAUCUUGUGGUGUUUGGUACAACUGAAGCCACUGUUCCUAUCUAGUUACACAACAUCACACUAACAAUAGAGCCCAGGUGUAUUAAACCUGGCACAUCUCAAAUCCUGUUCCCCUGGCAAUCAUUAAAGUUAUGUUUGUGUCUACAGGGUGUUUUAUGUGGAAGAAAUC
Molecule: long non-coding RNA, 1313 nt
Organism: Perognathus longimembris pacificus (Pacific pocket mouse)
Lineage: Eukaryota; Metazoa; Chordata; Mammalia; Rodentia; Heteromyidae
Exons: 3
Source: RefSeq, a predicted model, not a curated record